UAAACCAAGAGAAGACAUACCUGAGCAAUUGAACCAGAAGGGAUGAGACCCACCUGGAUCUGAUGCAGAUUAAAAUAUCUUGGACCUUGGGCCUGAGCUUGGAAUGGAAUGAGACCUUUGAGGAUCUUAGUGGGGAUGAUACCCAACCAUUGUGAACAAGCUCUGUCAACACCAUCUGCUCCACAAAGGAAAGUUGCUGAUUAUUGCAUCUCUGAGUGGAGUCGGUUCUCUCACACGAUAGCAGAAGGGCAACAAAAUAAGAAGAAGAGGAAGAAGGAGAAGGAGAAGUAGAAGGAGAAGGAGAAGGAGAAAGAAGAAGGAGAAAGAGAAGAAGAAGGAGAAGAAGGAGAAGAAGAAGAAGGAGAGGAGGAAGAGGAAGAAAAAGAAGAAGAGAAAUAAAUAAAUAAUGAAGGAAUGGGAAGGUAUGGGAAGAGGAGGAGAGGCAAAAAGGAAAAAGAAAUAAGAAAGGAGGAAAGAGAAAUAAGGAAAGAGGGAAUGUAUUAGUCUGUUCUCACAUGGCUAAUAAAGACAUACUCAAGGCUGGGUAAUUUAUAAAGAAAG
Long non-coding RNA from Gorilla gorilla gorilla (western lowland gorilla), 561 nucleotides. RefSeq lists it as uncharacterized. The transcript has 3 exons. The record is from RefSeq and is a predicted model, not a curated record. Lineage: Eukaryota; Metazoa; Chordata; Mammalia; Primates; Hominidae.